This 250-nucleotide ribosomal RNA is filed under the name uncultured Hyphomicrobiales bacterium. RNAcentral's name for it is "uncultured Rhizobiales bacterium partial 16S ribosomal RNA". It matches the Rfam family "Bacterial small subunit ribosomal RNA", at positions 524 to 773 of the family's 1533-position model. Lineage: Bacteria; Pseudomonadati; Pseudomonadota; Alphaproteobacteria; Hyphomicrobiales. The record is from RNAcentral.
UACGAAGGGGGCUAGCGUUGUUCGGAAUUACUGGGCGUAAAGCGCGCGUAGGCGGAUUUUUAAGUCAGAGGUGAAAACCCAGGGCUCAACCCUGGAACUGCCUUUGAUACUGGAGAUCUAGAGUAUGGAAGAGGUGAGUGGAAUUCCGAGUGUAGAGGUGAAAUUCGUAGAUAUUCGGGGGAACACCAGUGGCGAAGGCGGCUCACUGGUCCAUUACUGACGCUGAGGUGCGAAAGCGUGGGGAGCAAAC